RNAcentral lists this ribosomal RNA (111 nucleotides) under Heterocephalus glaber (naked mole-rat). Lineage: Eukaryota; Metazoa; Chordata; Mammalia; Rodentia; Bathyergidae. The record is from RNAcentral.
GUCAAUGGCCAUACCACCCUGAAAAUACUUGAUCUUGUCUGAUCUCAGAAGCUAAGCAAGGUCAGGCCUGGCUAGUACUUGGAUGGGAGAAUACAUAAUCAAUUAUUUAUU